CCGUGGAGGGCACUUUCCCAGUCCCCGAGGCGGAUCCGGUGUUGCAUCCUUGGAGAGAGCUGAGAGCUGGAGUACAGAACCUGCUAAGGCCAUCAAACCUAUUGAUCGGAAGUCAGUCCAUCAGAUUUGCUCUGGGCAGGUGGUACUGAGUCUAAGCACUGCGGUGAAGAAGAUAGUAGAAAACAGUCUGGAUGCUGGUGCCACUAAUAUUGUGAUGUCACCAUUUCUACCUGCCACGUAUCGGCGAAGGUUGGGACUCGACUGGUGUUUGAUCACGAUGGGAAAAUCAUCCAGAAAACCCCCUACCCCCACCCCAGAGGGACCACAGUCAGCGUGAAGCAGUUAUUUUCUACGCUACCUGUGCGCCAUAAGGAAUUUCAAAGGAAUAUUAAGAAGAAACGUGCCUGCUUCCCCUUCGCCUUCUGCCGUGAUUGUCAGUUUCUUGAGGGCUCCCCAGCCAUGCUUCCUGUACAGCCUGCAAAACUGACUCCUAGAAGUACCCCACCCCACCCCUGCUCCUUGGAGGACAACGUGAUCACUGUAUUCAGCUCUGUCAAGAAUGGUCCAGGUUCUUCUAGAUGAUCUGCACAAAUGGUUCCUCUCCUCCUUCCUGAUGUCUGCCAUUAGCAUUGGAAUAAAGUUCCUGCUGAAAAUCCACAUCUCCCCUGGGUCCGGUGUUCUGGAAGUGAGAGAGACAAUGUCACACUUCAAGGAGGCAGCUCUCUAGACAGGAAGGUUAUUCACGUCCCAUGUCAAGUCUAGCUAGAGUUCAGAGCAAUUGAGAAGUGCAAUUUUAUCUCCUGCCUUUCAUUCUAUACCCUGCUUCUGAACCAUCGUGUUCAACUGUGAAACUCACACUUUGGUGACCCUGACUCCAAAACUUAAUACACCCAAGGUCAGCCCCAGUGAUCUGCUUCAUAGCAAGGACUUUGGGUGGGUCUUCCCAGGGAGUAGGGCACCCUCAGAGAAUGUGGCUUUGGACUUCAUCACAGCUGGGGCCUUUUGUGUCACUUCAGAUCUAAACUUGUAACCGUGCUAGAUCUGUUUCUAAUGUGACAACAUCACGAACCACGAGUCCAGAAGCCUAAUCCAUAAUCCUCCCUCCUCAUGACAAAGUCUCAUGCUCUGUGCUC
RNAcentral lists this long non-coding RNA (1133 nucleotides) under Homo sapiens (human). RNAcentral describes it as "long non-coding RNA NONHSAT121493.2". Lineage: Eukaryota; Metazoa; Chordata; Mammalia; Primates; Hominidae. The record is from RNAcentral.